RNAcentral lists this ribosomal RNA (403 nucleotides) under uncultured bacterium. RNAcentral describes it as "bacterial SSU rRNA". It matches the Rfam family "Bacterial small subunit ribosomal RNA", at positions 356 to 776 of the family's 1533-position model. The record is from RNAcentral.
GGGGAAUCUUGGACAAUGGGGGCAACCCUGAUCCAGCCAUGCCGCGUGAGUGAAGAAGGCCCUAGGGUCGUAAAGCUCUUUCGCCUGUGAUGAUAAUGACAGUAGCAGGUAAAGAAACCCCGGCUAACUCCGUGCCAGCAGCCGCGGUAAUACGGAGGGGGUUAGCGUUGUUCGGAAUUACUGGGCGUAAAGCGCGCGUAGGCGGAUUGGAAAGUUGGGGGUGAAAUCCCGAGGCUCAACCUCGGAACUGCCUCCAAAACUCCCAGUCUAGAGUUCGAGAGAGGUGAGUGGAAUUCCGAGUGUAGAGGUGAAAUUCGUAGAUAUUCGGAGGAACACCAGUGGCGAAGGCGGCUCACUGGCUCGAUACUGACGCUGAGGUGCGAAAGUGUGGGGAGCAAACAGG